RNAcentral lists this ribosomal RNA (524 nucleotides) under uncultured bacterium. RNAcentral's name for it is "bacterial SSU rRNA". It matches the Rfam family "Bacterial small subunit ribosomal RNA", at positions 777 to 1301 of the family's 1533-position model. The record is from RNAcentral.
AAUAGAUACCCCGGUAGUCCACGCCGUAAACGAUGAGUGCUAGGUGUUGGAGGGAAACCUUCGGUGCCGCAGCUAACGCAUUAAGCACUCCGCCUGGGGAGUACGUACGCAAGUAUGAAACUCAAAGGAAUUGACGGGGACCCGCACAAGCAGCGGAGCAUGUGGUUUAAUUCGAAGCAACGCGAAGAACCUUACCAGGGCUUGACAUGCCCCUGCCCGCUCUAGAGAUAGAGCUUUACCCUUCGGGGUACAGGGGACACAGGUGGUGCAUGGUUGUCGUCAGCUCGUGUCGUGAGAUGUUGGGUUAAGUCCCGCAACGAGCGCAACCCUUGCCUUUAGUUGCCAUCAUUAAGUUGGGCACUCUAGAGGGACUGCCGAUGACAAAUCGGAGGAAGGUGGGGAUGACGUCAAAUCAUCAUGCCCUUUAUGUCCUGGGCUACNCACGUGCUACAAUGGUCGGUACAACGAGCAGCAACACAGUGAUGUGAGGCAAAUCUCUAAAAGCCGAUCCCAGUUCGGAUUGC